This 624-nucleotide long non-coding RNA is filed under the name Homo sapiens (human). RNAcentral's name for it is "HSALNT0157388". Lineage: Eukaryota; Metazoa; Chordata; Mammalia; Primates; Hominidae. The record is from RNAcentral.
CCCAGAGGUACACCACUCCUUCAGUCUGCCAGUGUGCCUCCUGCCUGCCUUGGAGGUAGCCUUACUCCCUGGGACGCGUCCAAGAAACUGAAAGCAAUAGGCAGAUUUGGAUUUCAGCUCCUCACCUGACGGAUGACCCCAGCCUGCUCUGCUAUGAGAUGGAGCACACCAGUGAUUACUGUAAAAGGCUGUUGUGAAGGUUCCAGGAAGUAUUCCUGAAGUUCCUGGCCACUGGCUCACAUGUACAAGAUACUGAAGCCGCUCAGAGCUGAGGAGGCAACAACACAGAACCCACGUUCCAGGUGCUAUGUUCUGGGAGUACAGGCAUGAGUCCCCGCACUCACCCCUUCUUCUAUUAAUAUCCCCCGGUGGCGGGCUCUGAUGGCAUCAGCUUGUGUGUGGAAGCUUCCUGCUGUAAUGUAAUCAGCAAAUGGAAGCCGUGUCCCUUUAAACCCUUGCCGUCACUUCUGCAUGUGGCAAAAUCAGGGUGGAAACCUGGCCCAUUCCAUUCCUUGUGCUGAGAGUGAAAAUGACCCUGCAUGUCAAUCAGAAACCAUGUAACAAACCUGCACUUUCUGCACAUGUAUCCCAGAACUUAAAGUAAAAUUUAAAAAAAGAAAAAAG